Molecule: ribosomal RNA, 253 nt
Filed under: uncultured bacterium
Lineage: Bacteria
Description: partial 16S ribosomal RNA
Rfam family: Bacterial small subunit ribosomal RNA
Source: RNAcentral
UACGAAGGUGGCAAGCGUUGUUCGGAUUUACUGGGCGUACAGGGCGCGUAGGCGGAACGGCAAGUCAGAGGUGAAAGCCCUGGGCUCAACCCGGGAAUUGCCUUUGGGACUGCCGUUCUAGAGUUCGGAAGAGGAUGGCGGAAUACCCAGUGUAGAGGUGAGAUUCGUAGAUAUUGGGUAGAACACCGGUGGCGAAGGCGGCCAUCUGGUCCGACACUGACGAUGAGGCGCGAAAGCGUGGGGAGCAAACAGG